UACGUAGGGCGCGAGCGUUGUCCGGAAUUACUGGGCGUAAAGGGCGCGUAGGCGGUCUGACAAGUCUGAUGUGAAAUCUAUGGGCUCAACCCAUAGUCUGCAUCGGAAACUGUCGGGCUUGAGUAUGGGAGAGGUGAGUGGAAUUUCCGGUGUAGCGGUGAAAUGCGUAGAUAUCGGAAGGAACACCUGUGGCGAAAGCGAGGUCCUGGACGCCUACUGACGCUGAGGCGCGAAAGCCAGGGGAGCGAACGGG
RNAcentral lists this ribosomal RNA (253 nucleotides) under uncultured bacterium. Its description in RNAcentral is "partial 16S ribosomal RNA". It matches the Rfam family "Bacterial small subunit ribosomal RNA", at positions 524 to 776 of the family's 1533-position model. The record is from RNAcentral.